Molecule: long non-coding RNA, 277 nt
Filed under: Mytilus galloprovincialis (Mediterranean mussel)
Lineage: Eukaryota; Metazoa; Mollusca; Bivalvia; Mytilida; Mytilidae
Source: RNAcentral
UGUUGACAUGAAUAUCAAUUAUAUGGUCAUUUUUAUAAAUUUUCUGUUUACAAAACUUUUGAAUUUUUCGAAAAACUAAGGAUUUUCUUACCGCAGGAGUAGAUAACCUUAGCCGUAUUUGGCACAACUUUGUGGGAAUUUUGGGUCCUCAAUGCUCUUCAACUUUGUAUUUGUUUGGCUUUUUAACUAUUUUGAUCUGAGCGUCACUGAUGAGUCUUGUAGACGAAACGCGCGUCUGGCGUAUAAAAUUAUAAUCCUGGUACUUUUGAUAACGAUU